GAUGAACGCUGGCGGCGUGCCUAAUACAUGCAAGUCGAGCGAACAGACGAGGAGCUUGCUCCUCUGACGUUAGCGGCGGACGGGUGAGUAACACGUGGAUAACCUACCUAUAAGACUGGGAUAACUUCGGGAAACCGGAGCUAAUACCGGAUAAUAUAUUGAACCGCAUGGUUCAAUAGUGAAAGACGGUUUUGCUGUCACUUAUAGAUGGAUCCGCGCCGCAUUAGCUAGUUGGUAAGGUAACGGCUUACCAGGGCAACGAUGCGUAGCCGACCUGAGAGGGUGAUCGGCCACACUGGAACUGAGACACGGUCCAGACUCCUACGGGAGGCAGCAGUAGGGAAUCUUCCGCAAUGGGCGAAAGCCUGACGGAGCAACGCCGCGUGAGUGAUGAAGGUCUUCGGAUCGUAAAACUCUGUUAUUAGGGAAGAACAAAUGUGUAGGUAACUAUGCACGUCUUGACGGUACCUAAUCAGAAAGCCACGGCUAACUACGUG
This 497-nucleotide ribosomal RNA is filed under the name uncultured bacterium. Its description in RNAcentral is "partial 16S ribosomal RNA". It matches the Rfam family "Bacterial small subunit ribosomal RNA", at positions 28 to 507 of the family's 1533-position model. The record is from RNAcentral.